This 6845-nucleotide long non-coding RNA is filed under the name Durio zibethinus. RNAcentral describes it as "long non-coding RNA (DZIB_LNC000516)". Lineage: Eukaryota; Viridiplantae; Streptophyta; Magnoliopsida; Malvales; Malvaceae. The record is from RNAcentral.
CCAGCUUCUUUCCCUGUCAUCCCUUGGGUAUCGUUGCGUGGCUCCCGAUCUUCGUGGGUUCGGUGACACCGAUUCUCCUUCCUCGGCGGAUUCAUACACUGUAUUCCACAUCGUGGGGGAUCUCGUGGGCCUCCUCGACGCGCUCAACAUUGACCGGGUGUUUUUGGUAGGACAUGAUUGGGGUGCGGUGAUUGCUUGGUCUUUUUGCCAGUUCCGGCCUGGUAGAGUCAAGUGUUUGGUCAACAUGAGCGUGGCGUAUCGGCCUAGGCACCGCACCCCAAGGUGAAGCCCGUGGAAGGGGUCGGGGCUUUGUUUGGUGACGAUUAUUAUAUUUGCAGGUUCCAGGUAAUUGACUCAGUCACAUGAUUUUGAGUUACUUACCUGUUUUCUUUUCUCUGUUUUAAAGUUGUCAUUCGGAAUAACGAUUUUAUUGGGUAAAACGGCAUCUGGGUUUUAAGGGAAUUUACUCUUUUAAUGAUUGUUAGAUUAGUUGGGUGACUAUAUGUUUGCGCUGGUUACCUUUCUAUUUGCAAAUAGUUUUGAAGCCAUCAUCACGAACUACAAUUAUCCAUUUAUCAUCUUUUUUUUUUUUGAAAUAUUAUAUAUUCUUUGACUAGAGCGAGAAGAAAAUAAUUUGGUAGUACAUUGAUUGUUUUGCAUGAGAGAAUUGCUUGAAUUACUGGGGUUAUUGACUUUCCGGGUAGUUGAGUAGCAUCAAUUAUGUGAUUUUGGAAUAAUUGGGUUUUCCUAUCUGCUUUCGGUAAUGGACUUUUAGCAUUUAAGUUUCCUGCCUGAACGGCUCCACUUAUUUUUGUGUUGGAUUAUAGGCCUCGUCUUAGCUUUUAAGAUAACAAAAUCCAGUGUCCCACUCCCACAACUACUAAUGUAUAUAAGAAGAGAAACUCGGAUUGUGGUUUUACUUUUGAAUUUGAUGAUUUCUAUAUACUCAUUUUUUCCAUUCUAAACUUUUUUGUGCGGACAAAUGGUUUCUAUGAGGUGUGAUUAAUGAAGGAAGCUAUAGUCAUCUCUGCUGGAUCCAGAAAUAAGAUUAUAGUGAAGCUCAGACUACUGUGAUACUGUCCACUGUCCAGUUUACAUCAACCGAGGAUAUGUCCCCACGAUUGUUUACAUGAUUGAGAUCACAUUUAGUAUACAUAUUUUUCUUGUUACAAUUGAAAGGAAUUGCCGUCAUCUUCUUCUGCUUCCUUGCCCUUGUCCUUGGGAACAAAUAUUUUAAACAUGACCGAUGUAUUAGCUUGCUUCAAUUUAAAAACAUGGAUGCUGAAAUACUUUAUCUUAAUAGGUUUAAGUUGUUUGAUUCUCUGAUGUUUACUUUUCUUCUUUUCUGUUAUCUAAAAUCCUUAUAUGUAUUCAAUUUUAUUUUCAUUGUAUGUAUUCUUCAUCAUGCUAUAGGAACCUGGGGAGAUUGAAGAAGACUUUGCUCAGAUGGAUACUGCAAAGCUUAUAAAGAGAUUUCUUGCAUCUCGCAGUCCACGUCCAAUUUGUAUACCUAAAGAAAUAGGGUUCAGAGGGUUUCCUGAUCCUCCAGCCUUGCCCUCUUGGCUUUCAGAAGAAGACAUCAAUUACUUUGCUAGCAAAUUUAAUGAGAAGGGAUUCACUGGAGGACUUAACUAUUAUCGAGCUUUGGAUCUGUAUGUACAAGUGUGCAUGUUAAUAUCGUUGAACUCUCAUUUCUAUUCCGUUUUUCUAUUUCAGGAGGAUUAUUAGAUAAACAUGAAAUUUGGAGCCUAGAUGUUCAGUAUAACACUUGGUGGAGCAGUUACUUGAAGAUGAUUUUGAUUCAUAUCAUUCAACGCAUCUAUUUCAAUCUUGAUAUCACAUACAUAAUAGACUAUAAUACUUAUUUGAGCAGAGAACUUGAUCCUUUCCACCAAAUAUUUCCUCUUGCUCUUCAUUUUGGUUAGGCAUUAGUAGACCCUGAGGACUUAAUUCCUCAAAACUUGAAAAAACUGUUAUCUAUUGUGGGAGGGCCUUUUUGUAUAGCCAAGCUAAUUCAAUCUUUCUUGCUGCAGAAACUGGGAACUGAUGGCACCAUGGACAGGACUGCAAAUCAAUGUACCAGUUAAAUUCAUCGUGGGGGACCUGGACGUUACCUAUCACAUCCCUGGUGUUAAGGAAUAUAUACACAAUGGUGGCUUCAAGAAGGAUGUGCCUUCCUUGCAGGAAGUAGUUGUCAUGGAAGGAGUAGCACACUUUCUCAACCAAGAAAAACCCGAGGAGAUUAGCACACACAUUUAUGACUUCAUUAAGAAAUUCUGAUUUAAUUUCUACUUUGGUACGUGAUUUACCUUGAAGUUCUGACUCUAAAAUAACGAAUCACCCGCUUAAUUGUAUUUGAUGCUUUCCUUGUUUUCUUUGUACUGGUGGAAUUAGUAUUGAUGCAGUGCAGAGUGCUUUGUCGACGCUUAUGGGACUCAAAGUUGGUUCUGGUUACAUAUAGGUAACCUGGGGAGAAUAUAGAGGCUGAGGUAAAGGUCAAGCAAAUAAGUCAGGCCUAGUCGAAUAUAGUUAGAUGUUGAGUUCAUUUGUCUGACGAACUUAAGCUUUUAAUAAUCUUCAUCAAGCAACUUAUUUCCAAUUGAGACACUAUUUAACAUUACAAGGUUAAAUAUGAAUUAGAUUCACAGUUUGCUACUAGUUUCAGCUAUCUCUUUUAUCGUAAUGAACUAGAACUCAGUUAUGCGCGAGCAACCUGUUUCAUUUAUUAGGUAAUAACUGAUUAGGUGUAGGAAUUGCUUAGGCUGUCACCUGUAUACUACAACAGCAUCCAUUAUCGCCAGAGCAUAAAAUCUCAAAUUUGUUCCCAUUUCAACGAUACAACGCUUCACAUAACUGCUAUUGACUACAAAUUAUUCAGAUCUUAAAAGUCCCACUCAGUGCCGUGUAUUUUUAAUCUAAACAAUCUACAUUCUCAGUUUUCUGCAAAGGUCUUUCAUGAAACAUACCUUUAUGAAGCUAAGAAAGUCUUGGACUUAAAUCCAGAAGAUAGGGGAAUAAUAGCUACAUUUUAUUUACAAGAAGACACGUAACAAUUAACAUGCCGGGUCUAGCCAAAAUAUCAAGUCUCACUUAAGAUGGUUAACCAAUGAUGACAUUAAGAACAAAACAACUUGAAAAAGACUUGCGAAACAUCUAGAUUCCAAGGGCAAACAAUGCGAUGCCGAAUGCUGAUGGACGUAUCAGCUAAUCCUUGCAUGAUUCGGUAUGGAACAACAUUAAUCUCUUUGAUAUUUAAUUCUGCAAUGGCUAGUGGCAACCCGUAAAUCCUCCAUGGAGAUCCAAACAAAAAACAUGUUCAAUCACUCUAAAAUUUCCUUGAUAAACAAAACUACAAAAGAUUCCCAACUAUAUUAAUGUUCCAUGGAAGAGAGAAAACAGGAAAGAAGAAAAAAAAACUGAAAAUCCUCAUUUUCACGAUGAUAGCUUGAUAAGUAAUUUUCUUCCAGGACAGUUGCAAACUCAAACCCUGAAGCCUUUGCUGUUCCUUCCUCCUCUAGCCUUCUCAAAUUUCCUUCCCUUUGACCGCACAUAGGGCUUGGUGUGACUGUGAGGCACACCAGGAGCUGGUCCAAAGUGCUUCACAGCCUCACAAGCAUUCUUUGGACCUCGGAGGGGAACGUGCAGAUUAAGAUUUUCAGCAUAGAAUUUGAGUCAAUUUUCACCAUUCCACAAUGUUGAUCAGCUAUUCCUUUUGUCAAACCCCUAAUCAUAACGUCAACAUAAAGAGAAAAAGGGGAAUGAUAUGUAAGAUGAUUAUUCUUCAACAUAUGAAAGCUGUUGUGGUUUGUUUUAUUCUUCUACAUAUUCGUGCUUGUUGCCAACUCGGACGAAAGUUGAUUGGACUUAAACCAUAAUAAAAGGAGUUAAAAACUUUUCUAUCACUUGCCACAAAUUUAGUUUUGUCAAAAUGAACUAAUUCUUUGAUGAGAAAACUCCAAUUUAAUUUAAACGCAUGGUUGUUAAUUUUAAAAAUAUUGAAAAGUUCAAUUAGUUUCUAUUCUUCACUCUCUUUCUUAUAUAGGUAUAUUCUUUGGGUUUUGCUGUCAAGUUUGAACAAUUAGUACAUUAAAGGUUAUUUAACACUUGAUUUGUAUUAAACACAUACAAUCAAAAUUAAUCAAAUUUUCUAAUCUAUUUUUAAUAUAUUUAUCAAACACAGUCACGAUAAGUUUUUUUAUUAUUAUUAUUAUUUUGAGUAAGGGUGUAAUUGAGUUAAGUCAAACCGAUACAAUGAGAGGCUUGAACUCGACCUCGAUUCUCAACUCGCGACUCAAUACUUGGUUUGAACUCUAUCGAUUUUUAUUUUUUUAGCUCAAGCUUGAUUUGUGAUCGAAAUCGAGCUAUUCAAUUAAGCUCGAUUAAUAUGUAAAAAUAAGUUUGAUUCUUAUAUUCAACAAGAGCUUGAUUAUUUGUGCUCGAACUUGAGUUCGAAUUUGAGAUAUUUUAUUAAUUAAAAUAAUAAAAAAAUUUAAAUAUAAAAAUUCGAUUAGACUCGCGAGUUACUCGAAUUUGAUAUAAAAAUAUUUAAAUUUGACUCGAUCAAUGAAUUGAGUUACUUGAGUUUAAACUCGAUUCGAUAUCGAGUUGAAUUCAAAUUUUAUUCGAAUUGAACUCGAGUAAUUUAUGAAAAUUAAUAUAUCAUUUAUAUCUCUAAUUUUGAGGAUAUUUGAGUUACUGAAGGAAAGUAUACCAACCAAAGACAAGUUAGUUAAUACCGCUGGCCUUCUUAGCUCAGCCUACUCAUUAACUCUAAUCUAUUUUCUGGUGUAGCUAGGCCUGGUUUAUGAUAUCGGAGGAUCCACGAAGACGACCCAAAACUGUGCCAAUCAAUUGCUGUUGGACCCUAUAGACCCAAACAUGGUUCAUUAGCUAUCCUAAAUUAAAUUACCUUUUUUUAACAAAAAUUAUAAAAAAAAAAGGGGAAUGGGGCGCAUAGAAAGAACAUGUUCAACUGACAAUUAGACGUUCAAUUAAAGAGAAAAUGAUAUCUACAUAUAAAACAUAAUAACAAAUCCCCAACUAAAAUAUCAAUCCAAAAAGCUGAAGUAGUCAAAUACAAAUGACAUUUUCUUGCCCAAUUAUUCAAAAGAAAGAAGAAAACAUUCAUCUUUCUUCCGACUACUCUUAAAAUUAUAAUGAUAUAGGCAUUUUAUUUUUUUUAUAUAUAUUUAAAAUUAUCAAAAUUAAAUUUUAAUAAAUAAAGUUUAAUUAUGAACUUUAAUCUCACCAUUAACUAUUAUUAAAUCCAUCCCUGAGUUGAAUGAAAAGAUAAUGAUGCUUGAAUAUAAAAGCCUUUAAAAGAGUUAGACUCUUAAAUAUUGAAUUGAAUUUCUCACUCACAUUUUUAUUUUUUUAUAAUACAAGAAAAAAUGGUCCCUGAAUUUAAGCCAAAAAAAACAACCAAUUUUCCAAUGACAUAGCCUUUUAAAGUGUCGAGAUUUUAUGGCACAUCAAUUCCUUACCUUUCUUAUAUAAUACCAGAACACAAGUCUAAUUUCACCUCUAAUCUCAGCAUCAGCAUGUUAUUGUUUAGAAUUUACAUAAUUUUUUUUUAUAAAUGUUUCAAUUGAGGAUUGAAGAAACAAAGACUGAAAUAAAAAGAAAAACAGGUUAAAAAAAUCAGUCUAAAAUUUAUACUCAACUGUUAGUAUUUAAGUUUUAAAACUAAUAUCAUUGUACUAAUUUUAAAUAACUAUUGUUAAUUCUAUUCAAAUGUACAUAUUUCAAACAAUAAUUAUUAGAUAAAAGAGCUUACUAUUAUUGUUUCAUUAAAGCCUUUAAAAACACAUUAAUGGUUAAAUUUGAAUAUUAUAAUAAUAUUAUUUAAAAGUAAUAAAAUAUAAUAAAACAUAAAAAUUAUUUUAUAUUUAAAAUUUUUAAUUUUUCAUUUAUUUUCUAUUUAUUCUAAUCUGAAGUAAUUAAAAAUGAAAGCUUUAGAAAAAAAAAAGGAAAAUAUACUCUAUUUCCUUUUAUUUCUUUUAUUAAUAUGUAAAUGAUAAACCAAACAGAAAUAAAAUUUCCUUAUUUUCCGUACUUUCCUUUUUCUCACAUCCCCUCGAUUCACAUUGGUAUUUCGUUGCGAACACUCAACAGUAUCAAAUUUUGGAUUUUCCUUCUUCUUUUGGUAUCUUUUAUUUGCUUGGUUUUUCUACCUAAGUUUCUGAUUCAGCUUGCCUUUUUCUGCGUAUUUUGGUUCCACCCCUAAGUCCAAACCAAAAAUGACAGGCAACCCAACGUAGAAUAUCUUUAAGAAAAUUCUGUUUCAUAAACAGACAAGACUUUAUAUUUAAGACCAAUGCUAUACCCCAUACGGGAAACGGCCAAACUCGGGGAACUCUCACUACAAAAAAUUUGUCUGAAAGCGAACAUGGAGAAGAUAGAGCACACCAUCGUGACCACCAACGGCAUAAAGAUGCACGUGGCAUCCGUUGGUUCAGGUCCUGUUAUCCUUUUCUUGCACGGCUUUCCUGAGCUUUGGUACUCCUGGCGCCACCAGCUUCUUUCCCUGUCAUGCCUUGGGUAUCGUUGCAUGGCUCCCGAUCUUCGUGGGUUCGGUGACACCGAUUCUCCGCCCUCGGCGGAUUCAUACACCAUAUUCCACAUCGUGGGGGAUCUCGUAGGCCUCCUCGACUCGCUCGACAUUGACCGCGUGUUUUUGGUGGGACAUGAUUGGGGUGCGGUGAUUGCUUGGUAUUUUUGCCAGUUUCGGCCUGAUAGAGUCAAAUGUUUGGUCAACAUGAGCGUGGCGUAUCAGCCUAGGCACCCCAAGGUGAAGACCGUGGAAGGGUUCAGGGCUUUGUUUGGUGACGAUUAUUAUAUUUGCA